CGGACGACGCUGGCGGCGUGCUUAACACAUGCAAGUCGAACGGUAACGGGCCUUCGGGUGCCGACGAGUGGCGAACGGGUGAGUAAUGUAUCGGAACGUACCUUUCAGUGGGGGAUAACGUAGCGAAAGUUACGCUAAUACCGCAUAUUCUGUGAGCAGGAAAGCAGGGGAUCGCAAGACCUUGCGCUGAUUGAGCGGCCGAUAUCAGAUUAGCUAGUUGGUGAGGUAAAGGCUCACCAAGGCGACGAUCUGUAGCGGGUCUGAGAGGAUGAUCCGCCACACUGGAACUGAGACACGGUCCAGACUCCUACGGGAGGCAGCAGUGGGGAAUUUUGGACAAUAGGGGCAACCCUGAUCCAGCCAUGCCGCGUGAGUGAAGAAGGCCUUCGGGUUGUAAAGCUCUUUCGGCCGGGAAGAAAUCGUAUGGGUUAAUACCCUGUGCGGAUGACGGUACCGGCAUAAGAAGCACCGGCUAACUACGUG
Molecule: ribosomal RNA, 483 nt
Filed under: uncultured bacterium
Lineage: Bacteria
Description: bacterial SSU rRNA
Rfam family: Bacterial small subunit ribosomal RNA
Source: RNAcentral